AUUGAACGCUGGCGGCAGGCCUAACACAUGCAAGUCGAACGAGUGGCGGACGGGUGAGUAAUGUCUGGGAAACUUCCUGAUGGAGGGGGAUAAAUACUGGAAAGGGUAGCUAAUACCGCAUACCAUGGUGUUUGCCCAGAGGGGAUUAGCUAGUGGGUGGGGUAAAGGCUCACCUAGGCGACGAUCCCUAGCUGGUGUGAGAGGAUGACCAGCCACACUGGAACUGAGACACGGCCCAGACUCCUACGGGAGGCAGCAGUGGGGAAUAUUGCACAAUGGGCGCAAGCCUGAUGCAGCCAUGCCGCGUGUAUGAAGAAGGCCUUCGGGUGGUAAAGUACUUUCAGCGGGGAGGCGUUACCCGCAGAAGAAGCACCGGCUAACUCCGUGCCAGCAGCCGCGGUAAUUC
Molecule: ribosomal RNA, 406 nt
Filed under: uncultured bacterium
Lineage: Bacteria
Description: partial 16S ribosomal RNA
Rfam family: Bacterial small subunit ribosomal RNA
Source: RNAcentral